This 429-nucleotide ribosomal RNA is filed under the name Bacteroidota bacterium. RNAcentral describes it as "Bacteroidetes bacterium partial 16S ribosomal RNA". It matches the Rfam family "Bacterial small subunit ribosomal RNA", at positions 355 to 776 of the family's 1533-position model. Lineage: Bacteria; Pseudomonadati; Bacteroidota. The record is from RNAcentral.
UAGGGAAUCUUCCGCAAUGGACGCAAGUCUGACGGAGCAACGCCGCGUGAGUGAAGAAUGAUUUCGGUUCGUAAAACUCUGUUGUUAGAGAAGAACAGCGCAUAGAGUAACUGUUAUGCGUGUGACGGUAUCUAACCAGAAAGCCACGGCUAACUACGUGCCAGCAGCCGCGGUAAUACGUAGGUGGCAAGCGUUGUCCGGAUUUAUUGGGCGUAAAGCGAGCGCAGGCGGUCAAUUAAGUCUGAUGUGAAAGCCCCCGGCUCAACCGGGGAGGGUCAUUGGAAACUGGUUGACUUGAGUGCAGAAGAGGAGAGUGGAAUUCCAUGUGUAGCGGUGAAAUGCGUAGAUAUAUGGAGGAACACCAGUGGCGAAGGCGACUCUCUGGUCUGUAACUGACGCUGAGGCUCGAAAGCGUGGGUAGCAAACAGG